UAGGGAAUAUUGGGCAAUGGGCGGAAGCCUGACCCAGCCACGCCGCGUGCAGGAAGACGGCCCUCUGGGUUGUAAACUGCUUUUGAUUGGGAAGAAAGCAGCUCAUGCGUGAGAAUUUGACGGUACCAAUCGAAUAAGCCACGGCUAACUACGUGCCAGCAGCCGCGGUAAUACGUAGGUGGCGAGCGUUAUCCGGAUUUAUUGGGUUUAAAGGGAGCGUAGGCGGCUGAUUAAGUCAGCGGUGAAAGGUAGCAGCUUAACUGUUUUACAUGCCGUUGAUACUGGUUAGCUUGAGUUGACAGAAGGCAGAUAGAAUUCCUGGUGUAGCGGUGAAAUGCUUAGAUACCAGGAGGAAUACCGAUUGCGAAGGCAGUCUGCUGCAGUCACACUGACGCUGAGGCUCGAAGGUGCGGGGAUCAAACA
RNAcentral lists this ribosomal RNA (423 nucleotides) under uncultured bacterium. Its description in RNAcentral is "bacterial SSU rRNA". It matches the Rfam family "Bacterial small subunit ribosomal RNA", at positions 355 to 774 of the family's 1533-position model. The record is from RNAcentral.